Molecule: unclassified non-coding RNA, 245 nt
Filed under: plant metagenome
Description: partial contains small subunit ribosomal RNA, internal transcribed spacer 1, and 5.8S ribosomal RNA
Source: RNAcentral
UCUCCGUUGGUGAACCAGCGGAGGGAUCAUUACCGAGUUUACAACUCCCAAACCCAAUGUGAACCCUACCAAACUGUUGCCUCGGCGGGGUGACGCCCCGGGCGCGUCGCAGCCCCGGAACCAGGCGCCCGCCGGAGGGACCAACCAAACUCUUUCUGUAGUCCCCUCGCGGACGUUAUUUCUUACAGCUCUGAGCAAAAAUUCAAAAUGAAUCAAAACGUUCAACAACGGAUCUCUUGGUUCUG